RNAcentral lists this long non-coding RNA (361 nucleotides) under Homo sapiens (human). RNAcentral's name for it is "non-protein coding lnc-FLNB-2:1". The record is from RNAcentral. Lineage: Eukaryota; Metazoa; Chordata; Mammalia; Primates; Hominidae.
UACUAUUAUAUAUGGCACUUAAGGAACAGCUCUGAGCUCAAUACAUAGAUCCUCAUAAAACAAUAAGACCCUGAGGCAGUGGCCCACGAGACACUGACUGUGCCAUGUCAGUUGUGUUGUAGGUGUUCAGAGGAGAGAGUAAAGCUGGAACGACCCAGGGAGGACAUGGUCUGGCCUUGGACCUUGAAGAGGAGACAAAAGAAGAUAGGAUGACAAAGCAGAAGACCAGAGAGAAAGAGAUUUGAAGAUGCUACCCUGCUGGCUUUGGAGAUGGAAGCAAGGGCCAUGAGCCAAGAGGUGUAUGUGGCUUUUGGAAGCAGGUAAAGGCAAGGAUAGCCCCUGGAGCCUCCAGAAGGAGCCA